Molecule: ribosomal RNA, 218 nt
Filed under: uncultured bacterium
Lineage: Bacteria
Description: partial 16S ribosomal RNA
Rfam family: Bacterial small subunit ribosomal RNA
Source: RNAcentral
UAGUCUGGGAAACUGCCUGAUGGAGGGGGAUAACUACUGGAAACGGUAGCUAAUACCGCAUAAUGUCGCAAGACCAAAGCAGGGGCUCUUCGGACCUUGCACUAUCGGAUGAACCCAUAUGGGAUUAGCUAGUAGGUGGGGUAAAGGCUCACCUAGGCGACGAUCUCUAGCUGGUCUGAGAGGAUGAUCAGCCACACUGGGACUGAGACACGGCCCAG